GACGAACGCUGGCGGCGUGCUUAACACAUGCAAGUCGAACGGAAAGGCCCUGCUUUUGUGGGGUGCUCGAGUGGCGAACGGGUGAGUAACACGUGAGUAACCUGCCCCUGACUUUGGGAUAACUUCAGGAAACUGGGGCUAAUACCGGAUAGGAGCUCCUGCUGCAUGGUGGGGGUUGGAAAGUUUCGGCGGUUGGGGGUGGACUCGCGGCUUAUCAGCUUGUUGGUGGGGUAGUGGCUUACCAAGGCUUUGACGGGUAGCCGGCCUGAGAGGGUGACCGGCCACAUUGGGACUGAGAUACGGCCCAGACUCCUACGGGAGGCAGCAGUGGGGAAUAUUGCACAAUGGGCGGAAGCCUGAUGCAGCAACGCCGCGUGCGGGAUGACGGCCUUCGGGUUGUAAACCGCUUUCGCCUGUGACGAAGCGUGAGUGACGGUAAUGGGUAAAGAAGCACCGGCUAACUACGUG
This 468-nucleotide ribosomal RNA is filed under the name uncultured bacterium. Its description in RNAcentral is "partial 16S ribosomal RNA". It matches the Rfam family "Bacterial small subunit ribosomal RNA", at positions 28 to 507 of the family's 1533-position model. The record is from RNAcentral.